AAUGAACGCUGGCGGCAUGCCUAACACAUGCAAGUCGAACGAAGGCUUCGGCCUUAGUGGCGCACGGGUGCGUAACGCGUGGGAAUCUGCCCUUUGGUUCGGAAUAACAGUUAGAAAUGACUGCUAAUACCGGAUGAUGACGUAGGUCCAAAGAUUUAUCGCCGUUGGAUGAGCCCGCGUUGGAUUAGCUAGUUGGUGUGGUAAGAGCGCACCAAGGCGACGAUCCUUAGCUGGUCUGAGAGGAUGAUCAGCCACACUGGGACUGAGACACGGCCCAGACUCCUACGGGAGGCAGCAGUGGGGAAUAUUGGACAAUGGGCGAAAGCCUGAUCCAGCAAUGCCGCGUGAGUGAUGAAGGCCUUAGGGUUGUAAAGCUCUUUUACCCGGGAUGAUAAUGACAGUACCGGGAGAAUAAGCUCCGGCUAACUCCGUG
Molecule: ribosomal RNA, 433 nt
Filed under: uncultured bacterium
Lineage: Bacteria
Description: partial 16S ribosomal RNA
Rfam family: Bacterial small subunit ribosomal RNA
Source: RNAcentral